This is a small nuclear RNA of 138 nucleotides. Its record names the gene U2. It matches the Rfam family "U2 spliceosomal RNA". Rfam says of the family: U2 is a small nuclear RNA (snRNA) component of the spliceosome (involved in pre-mRNA splicing). Complementary binding between U2 snRNA (in an area lying towards the 5' end but 3' to hairpin I) and the branchpoint sequence (BPS) of the intron results the bulging out of an unpaired adenosine, on the BPS, which initiates a nucleophilic attack at the intronic 5' splice site, thus starting the first of two transesterification reactions that mediate splicing. The record is from Ensembl.
AUUGCUUCUUGGCCUUUUGGCUAAGAUCAAGUGUAGUAUAUAUGUUCUUAUCAGUUUGUAACACCAUUGUGUUGUUUAUAGUGGCAAGAAAAAAAAAAGUCUGGUAAUGAAUAGUUACCUAAGUCUUAGUAAACCUAC